This 529-nucleotide long non-coding RNA is filed under the name Physcomitrium patens. RNAcentral describes it as "long non-coding RNA (PPAT_LNC002359)". Lineage: Eukaryota; Viridiplantae; Streptophyta; Bryopsida; Funariales; Funariaceae. The record is from RNAcentral.
AUGUUGGCUAGCCUCCUUCUUCAAUUUGAAUGUUGAAUUUCCAACAUCAAUAUCUCCUUAUCAAACUAUUUGAUUGAUAUCAGAUUUCUUUUAUAUGUAAGAAAAUAAGUUUAUUUUCCAUAUACAUAAUUUUUACUCCAAUCCAAUUAAUAGAUUGCAAGAAAUCUAAGAAACCUUUAGUAGACCAAAAACUCUACUUCUUGAGACCUUGAUCCACUUAAACUUCAAUAAUCCUUGAUCCAGUCCUUCAAUCAAGCUCAAACUUGUAAUAUAUAUUGAAGACAUAUAUAUCCACAUAUCCUCAAAAUUUCACUUAAAAAUCUAUUGUCAAACUUAUCAAAUUCUCCAAAAAUCAUCACCUACUUUAUUUCACAAAUCUAGAGUCACCUAAAACAAACCCCAUUUUUGCAAAGCUCUUACAAAGUUAAUACACAUUUAAAUCACUCGAAAUAAACAUUUAAAAAAAACUUAUUAAGUCAGCUCCUAGAUUCUAUUCUUUGAUCUCCAAAAGAACCUCAAAAUCAUCAUC